This 301-nucleotide ribosomal RNA is filed under the name uncultured bacterium. RNAcentral describes it as "partial 16S ribosomal RNA". It matches the Rfam family "Bacterial small subunit ribosomal RNA", at positions 509 to 809 of the family's 1533-position model. The record is from RNAcentral.
CAGUCGCCGCGGGAAUACGGAGGGAGCUAGCGUUGUUCGGAAUUACUGGGCGUAAAGCGCACGUAGGCGGCUCUGUAAGUCAGAGGUGAAAGCCUGGAGCUCAACUCCAGAACUGCCUUUGAGACUGCAUCGCUUGAAUCCAGGAGAGGUGAGUGGAAUUCCGAGUGUAGAGGUGAAAUUCGUAGAUAUUCGGAAGAACACCAGUGGCGAAGGCGGCUCACUGGACUGGUAUUGACGCUGAGGUGCGAAAGCGUGGGGAGCAAACAGGAUUAGAUACCCCCGUAGUCCCUGUCUCUUAUAA